Centropristis striata (black sea bass) is the source of this 594-nucleotide long non-coding RNA. RefSeq lists it as uncharacterized. The record is from RefSeq and is a predicted model, not a curated record. Lineage: Eukaryota; Metazoa; Chordata; Actinopteri; Perciformes; Serranidae. The transcript is spliced from 3 exons.
ACUUGUCGUUCGCCGUGUGUGUGUGUCAUCGUCCUGUUUUUCUGAUAUUUUCUGCAAACAUUGGACUGACAUAAUGUCUUGCUGUGCUGUUGAUUGUACUAACAGACCGUCCAAGAAUUCUGUGUUCCAGUUUUUUCGUUUUCCUCUAGGUGAUCCAGAGAGGCUGGACCAGUGGGUGCGCAACAUUGGAAGACAGAACUGGACUCCGAACAAGGCUUCUCGUCUGUGCAGUGACCACUUUGAGAGACAUCACCUCAGCACUGACUCCAGGGACGCUUGAGGAUACGCCUACAACACAUAGGCCAUAGUGUGAUGUGUUCUCCAUUGUUAAGAUGUUGAAGGCAUCAGUACAUCAACAAAUUAUGUUUUUACCAAAUUAUGACACUGGGGUUGUUAUCCAAGUUAUAUCCUCAGAAUUAUAAUUACAACUAUUGCACAUAUAAGUGUACUUGAACCAUAAAAACCCAACUUGUAAAUGUGUAACCCUUAAAAUGUAUUUUCAAGAAUGCAAGACUUAAAAUUGUUAAACUGUUACUUGUGUACUGGGUGUGAUUCUUUUGUCAUAUAUAAUAUAAAAAAGGCACCUUCUUCAAA